CCUACGGGAGGCAGCAGUAGGGAAUUUUGCUCAAUGGGGGAAACCCUGAAGCAGCAACGCCGCGUGGAGGAUGAAGGUUUUAGGAUUGUAAACUCCUUUUGUUAGAGAAGAUUAUGACGGUAUCUAACGAAUAAGCACCGGCGAACUCCGUGCCAGCAGCCGCGGUAAUACGGAGGGUGCAAGCGUUACUCGGAAUCACUGGGCGUAAAGAGUGCGUAGGCGGGGUAAUAAGUCAGAUGUGAAAUCCUGUGGCUUAACUACAGAACUGCAUUUGAAACUGUUACUCUGGAGUGUGGGAGAGGUAGGUGGAAUUCUAGGUGUAGGGGUAAAAUCCGUAGAGAUCAAGAGGAAUACUCAUGGCGAAGGCGACCUGCUGGAACAUUACUGACGCUGAUGCACGAAAGCGUGGGGAGCAAACAGGAUUAGAUACCCCAGUAGUC
This 440-nucleotide ribosomal RNA is filed under the name uncultured bacterium. RNAcentral describes it as "partial 16S ribosomal RNA". It matches the Rfam family "Bacterial small subunit ribosomal RNA", at positions 338 to 795 of the family's 1533-position model. The record is from RNAcentral.